Rosa rugosa (rugosa rose) is the source of this 743-nucleotide RNA transcript. RefSeq lists it as uncharacterized. The transcript is spliced from 4 exons. The record is from RefSeq and is a predicted model, not a curated record. Lineage: Eukaryota; Viridiplantae; Streptophyta; Magnoliopsida; Rosales; Rosaceae.
UUUGCCCUUCUCUCUUUGGCCUCACAUCAUAUAUAUUCGCCACCAUGCUGCAUACAUAUAGAACCCUCUUAACCAUCAACGCAUGAGCAAACCCUCUCCUAAUCUUCUCCUUCUCGAUCAACAUGCCAACCAAAAAGGUUACCUGCCCCAAAAGUAAACCGGUGUUGCUGACCGUGUACGUGGAGAGGCCGAAGAGAAGACCAUCUUCAUCAACUCACCCUCACCAGCACCAUCCUUAUAUUCAACACACCAUCAAGCGGGAGGUUAUUCAUUACAGGCAUGGUGCCGGUGGCCAAGGCUAUAUUAGUCGGAGAGCGGAGCUGCUUCAGUUCUCUCAACGCCUUCGUUUAUCUGCUAGAUCAACAGCACCAGCAUCCAAACCCUAUUACCAAAACCAUACCAAGAGUCCAGCUGCCAAGUAGUUAGAUUGUGGCUGUCCGAAGAAAACCAAAGAAUUCAGAUCAAGCUCCCAGCUGCUUUGGAAACCGGAUUUUUCCAAGUAUUUUUGGACUUUGUACAAAUUUCCAAGCUAAGAAAGAGAGGAUGACGACAAAGAAACGCAGCGGCACUACCAGCAAUAAAAUAAAAUCUGCCAUCAAUAGCUUAAAGGGGCAAAAGAAACAGGGCUUUUUCUCCAAGUUAUUCUCAGCAUCCUCAAAGAGAAAGUGAAACUAUAACCCCUUGUAACUUUCAUAAUGAUCAAUUUUACUGUGAACAAGCCAAUGAAUAUGAUCUCUGUUGCU